ACCCGCUGAACUUAAGCAUAUCAAUAAGCGGAGGAAAAGAAACCAACAGGGAUUGCCCUAGUAACGGCGAGUGAAGCGGCAACAGCUCAAAUUUGAAAUCUGGCUCUUUUAGGGUCCGAGUUGUAAUUUGCAGAGGGCGCUUUGGCGUUGGCAGCGGUCCAAGUUCUUUGGAACAGGACGUCACAGAGGGUGAGAAUCCCGUACGUGGUCGCUAUCCUUCGCCGUGUAAAGCCCCUUCGACGAGUCGAGUUGUUUGGGAAUGCAGCUCUAAAUGGGAGGUAAAUUUCUUCUAAAGCUAAAUACUGGCCAGAGACCGAUAGCGCACAAGUAGAGUGAUCGAAAGAUGAAAAGCACUUUGGAAAGAGAGUCAAAUAGCACGUGAAAUUGUUGAAAGGGAAGCGCUUGCAGCCAGACUUGCCUGUAGUUGCUUAUCUGGACUUUUGUCCGGUGCACUCUUCUGCGGGCAGGCCAGCAUCAGUUUGGGCGGUUGGAUAAAGGUCUCUGUCAUGUACCUCCUUUCGGGGAGGCCUUAUAGGGGAGACGACACGCAACCAGCCUGGACUGAGGUCCGCGCAUCUGCUAGGAUGCUGGCGUAAUGGCUGU
This 603-nucleotide ribosomal RNA is filed under the name uncultured fungus. RNAcentral's name for it is "eukaryotic LSU rRNA". It matches the Rfam family "Eukaryotic large subunit ribosomal RNA", at positions 23 to 641 of the family's 3401-position model. Lineage: Eukaryota; Fungi. The record is from RNAcentral.